GAUGAACGCUGGCGGCGUGCCUAAUACAUGCAAGUCGAGCGAACGGACGAGAAGCUUGCUUCUCUGAUGUUAGCGGCGGGCGGGUGAGUAACACGUGGAUAACCUACCUAUAAGACUGGGAUAACUUCGGGAAACCGGAGCUAAUACCGGAUAAUAUUUUGAACCGCAUGGUUCAAAAGUGAAAGACGGUCUUGCUGUCACUUAUAGAUGGAUCCGCGCUGCAUUAGCUAGUUGGUAAGGUAACGGCUUACCAAGGCAACGAUGCAUAGCCGACCUGAGAGGGUGAUCGGCCACACUGGAACUGAGACACGGUCCAGACUCCUACGGGAGGCAGCAGUAGGGAAUCUUCCGCAAUGGGCGAAAGCCUGACGGAGCAACGCCGCGUGAGUGAUGAAGGUCUUCGGAUCGUAAAACUCUGUUAUUAGGGAAGAACAUAUGUGUAAGUAACUGUGCACAUCUUGACGGUACCUAAUCAGAAAGCCACGGCUAACUACGUGCCAGCAGCCGCGGUAAUACGUAGGUGGCAAGCGUUAUCCGGGAUUAUUGGGCGUNAAGCGCGCGUAGCGGUUUUUUAAGUCUGAUGUGAAAGCCCACGGCUCAACCGUGGAGGGUCAUUGGAAACUGGAAAACUUGAGUGCAGAAGAGGAAAGUGGAAUUCCAUGUGUAGCGGUGAAAUGCGCAGAGAUAUGGAGGAACACCAGUGGCGAAGGCGACUUUCUGGUCUGUAACUGACGCUGAUGUGCGAAAGCGUGGGGAUCAAACAGGAUUAGAUACCCUGGUAGUCCACGCCGUAAACGAUGAGUGCUAAGUGUUAGGGGGUUUCCGCCCCUUAGUGCUGCAGCUAACGCAUUAAGCACUCCGCCUGGGGAGUACGACCGCAAGGUUGAAACUCAAAGGAAUUGACGGGGACCCGCACAAGCGGUGGAGCAUGUGGUUUAAUUCGAAGCAACGCGAAGAACCUUACCAAAUCUUGACAUCCUUUGACAACUCUAGAGAUAGAGCUUUCCCCUUCGGGGGGCAAAGUGACAGGUGGUGCAUGGUUGUCGUCAGCUCGUGUCGUGAGAUGUUGGGUUAAGUCCCGCAACGAGCGCAACCCUUAAGCUUAGUUGCCAUCAUUAAGUUGGGCACUCUAAGUUGACUGCCGGUGACAAACCGGAGGAAGGUGGGGAUGACGUCAAAUCAUCAUGCCCCUUAUGAUUUGGGCUACACACGUGCUACAAUGGACAAUACAAAGGGCAGCGAAACCGCGAGGUCAAGCAAAUCCCAUAAAGUUGUUCUCAGUUCGGAUUGUAGUCUGCAACUCGACUACAUGAAGCUGGAAUCGCUAGUAAUCGUAGAUCAGCAUGCUACGGUGAAUACGUUCCCGGGUCU
This 1371-nucleotide ribosomal RNA is filed under the name uncultured bacterium. RNAcentral's name for it is "bacterial SSU rRNA". It matches the Rfam family "Bacterial small subunit ribosomal RNA", at positions 28 to 1381 of the family's 1533-position model. The record is from RNAcentral.